UACGUAGGGUGCGAGCGUUGUCCGGAAUUAUUGGGCGUAAAGAGCUUGUAGGCGGUUUGUCGCGUCUGCUGUGAAAUCUCAAGGCUCAACCUUGAGCUUGCAGUGGGUACGGGCAGACUAGAGUGUGGUAGGGGAGACUGGAAUUCCUGGUGUAGCGGUGAAAUGCGCAGAUAUCAGGAGGAACACCGGUGGCGAAGGCGGAUCUCUGGGCCUUACCUGACGCUGAGGCGCGAAAGCUAGGGGAGCGAACAGG
Molecule: ribosomal RNA, 253 nt
Filed under: uncultured bacterium
Lineage: Bacteria
Description: partial 16S ribosomal RNA
Rfam family: Bacterial small subunit ribosomal RNA
Source: RNAcentral